Molecule: non-coding RNA, 344 nt
Organism: Homo sapiens (human)
Lineage: Eukaryota; Metazoa; Chordata; Mammalia; Primates; Hominidae
Source: the annotation of a RefSeq genome assembly
AUGGACUCCUGGACCCUCUGUGUGUCCCUUUGUAUCCUGGUAGCGACAUGCACAGAUGCUGGCAUUAUCCAGUCACCCAAGCAUGAGGUGACAGAAAUGGGACAAACAGUGACUCUGAGAUGUGAGCCAAUUUUUGGCCACAAUUUCCUUUUCUGGUACAGAGAUACCUUCGUGCAGGGACUGGAAUUGCUGAGUUACUUCCGGAGCUGAUCUAUUAUAGAUAAUGCAGGUAUGCCCACAGAGCGAUUCUCAGCUGAGAGGCCUGAUGGAUCAUUCUCUACUCUGAAGAUCCAGCCUGCAGAGCAGGGGGACUCGGCCGUGUAUGUCUGUGCAAGUCGCUUAGC